Molecule: ribosomal RNA, 408 nt
Filed under: uncultured bacterium
Lineage: Bacteria
Description: partial 16S ribosomal RNA
Rfam family: Bacterial small subunit ribosomal RNA
Source: RNAcentral
GACGAACGCUGGCGGCGUGCUUAACACAUGCAAGUCGAACGAAGUGGCGAACGGGUGAGUAACGCGUAAUCAACCUGCACUUCAGAGGGGGACAACAGUUGGAAACGACUGCUAAUACCGCAUACUGAAGGAGGGGAUUGCGUCUGAUUAGCUCGUUGGAGGGGUAACGGCCGAACAAGGCGAUGAUCAGUAGGCGGUCUGGUGGGAUGAACGGCCACAUUGGGACUGAGACACGGCCCAAACUCCUACGGGAGGCAGCAGUGGGGAAUCUUCCGAAAUGGACGAAAGUCUGGCGGAGCAACGCCGCGUUGGUGAUGGAGGCCUUCGGGUUGUAAAGCUCUGUUAAUCGGGACGCGGUACCGGAAUAGAAAGCCACGGCUAACUACGUGCCAGCAGCCGCGGUAAUAC